RNAcentral lists this transfer RNA (85 nucleotides) under Chloroflexi bacterium TMED70. RNAcentral describes it as "tRNA-Tyr". It matches the Rfam family "tRNA". Rfam says of the family: Transfer RNA (tRNA) molecules are approximately 80 nucleotides in length. Their secondary structure includes four short double-helical elements and three loops (D, anti-codon, and T loops). Further hydrogen bonds mediate the characteristic L-shaped molecular structure. tRNAs have two regions of fundamental functional importance: the anti-codon, which is responsible for specific mRNA codon recognition, and the 3' end, to which the tRNAs corresponding amino acid is attached (by aminoacyl-tRNA synthetases). tRNAs cope with the degeneracy of the genetic code in two manners: having more than one tRNA (with a specific anti-codon) for a particular amino acid; and 'wobble' base-pairing, i.e. permitting non-standard base-pairing at the 3rd anti-codon position. The record is from RNAcentral. RNAcentral also lists the same sequence under 4 other names. Lineage: Bacteria; Bacillati; Chloroflexota.
GCAGGGGUUGGGGAGUGGUUAAACCCACCUGUCUGUAAAACAGGCGCUUUAUGCUUCACAGGUUCGAAUCCUGUCCCCUGCACCA